RNAcentral lists this unclassified non-coding RNA (348 nucleotides) under soil metagenome. RNAcentral describes it as "partial contains 5.8S ribosomal RNA, internal transcribed spacer 2, and large subunit ribosomal RNA". The stretch from base 1 to 120 matches the Rfam family "5.8S ribosomal RNA", at positions 35 to 154 of the family's 154-position model. The record is from RNAcentral.
GAUGAAGAACGUAGCAAAAUGCGAUAAGUAAUGUGAAUUGCAGAAUUCAGUGAAUCAUCGAAUCUUUGAACGCACAUUGCGCCCGCCAGUAUUCUGGCGGGCAUGCCUGUCUGAGCGUCAUUUCAACCCUCAUGCCCCUUGGGCGUGGUGUUGGGGAUCGGCCAAAGCCCGCGAGGGACGGCCGGCCCCUAAAUCUAGUGGCGGACCCGUCGUGGCCUCCUCUGCGAAGUAGUGAUAUUCCGCAUCGGAGAGCGACGAGCCCCUGCCGUUAAACCCCCAACUUUCCAAGGUUGACCUCAGAUCAGGUAGGAAUACCCGCUGAACUUAAGCAUAUCAAUAAGCGGAGGA